This 1249-nucleotide ribosomal RNA is filed under the name metagenome. RNAcentral describes it as "bacterial LSU rRNA". It matches the Rfam family "Bacterial large subunit ribosomal RNA", at positions 1696 to 2925 of the family's 2925-position model. The record is from RNAcentral.
AAACUGUGGUUAAGGAACUCGGCAAAUUACCCCCGUAACUUCGGGAGAAGGGGGGCCACAGACUGUCAUACCCCACGCGGGUGGCAGCAGUAGGUGGCCGCAGAGACCAGGGGGAAGCGACUGUUUACUAAAAACACAGGUCCGUGCGAAGUCGUAAGACGAUGUAUACGGACUGACGCCUGCCCGGUGCUGGAACGUUAAGGGGACCGGUUAGUCCGCAAGGGCGAAGCUGAGAACUUAAGCGCCAGUAAACGGCGGUGGUAACUAUAACCAUCCUAAGGUAGCGAAAUUCCUUGUCGGGUAAGUUCCGACCUGCACGAAUGGCGUAACGACUUCCCUACUGUCUCAACCACAGGCCCGGCGAAAUUGCACUACGAGUAAAGAUGCUCGUUACGCGCGGAAGGACGGAAAGACCCCGGGACCUUCACUAUAGCUUGACAUUGGUAUCCGAAUUUAAUUGUGUAGGAUAGGUGGGAGGCUUUGAUCCGCGGACGCCAGUCCGUCGGGGAGCCAACGUUGAAAUACCACUCUGUUGACUUUGGGUAUCUAACUUCGGACCGUGAUCCGGUUCAGGGACAGUGUCUGGUGGGUAGUUUAACUGGGGCGGUUGCCUCCUAAAAUGUAACGGAGGCGCUCAAAGGUUCCCUCAGCCUGGUUGGCAAUCAGGUGUUGAGUGCAAGUGCACAAGGGAGCUUGACUGUGAGACUGACAGGUCGAGCAGGGACGAAAGUCGGGACUAGUGAUCCGGCACCUGCGAGUGGAAGCGGUGUCGCUCAACGGAUAAAAGGUACCCCGGGGAUAACAGGCUGAUCUUCCCCAAGAGUCCAUAUCGACGGGAUGGUUUGGCACCUCGAUGUCGGCUCGUCGCAUCCUGGGGCUGGAGUAGGUCCCAAGGGUUGGGCUGUUCGCCCAUUAAAGCGGCACGCGAGCUGGGUUUAGAACGUCGUGAGACAGUUCGGUCCCUAUCCUCCGCGCGCGUAGGAGACUUGAGAAGAGCUGUCCCUAGUACGAGAGGACCGGGACGGACGAACCUCUGGUGUGCCAGUUGUCAUGCCAAUGGCACAGCUGGUUAGCUACGUUCGGAAGGGAUAACCGCUGAAAGCAUCUAAGCGGGAAGCUCGCUUCAAGAUGAGGUCUCCCACCCCUUAGAGGGUUAAGGCCCCCAGCUAGACCACUGGGUUGAUAGGCCAGAAGUGUAAGCCUGGUAACAGGUUCAGCCGACUGGUACUAAUAGGCCGAGGACUUCAUC